UACGUAGGGUGCAAGCGUUAAUCGGAAUUACUGGGCGUAAAGCGUGCGCAGGCGGUUUUGUAAGUCUGUCGUGAAAUCCCCCGGGCUCAACCUGGGAAUUGCGAUGGAGACUGCAAGGCUAGAAUCUGGCAGAGGGGGGGUAGAAUUCCACGUGUAGCAGUGAAAUGCGUAGAGAUGUGGAGGAACACCGAUGGCGAAGGCAGCCCCCUGGGUCAAGAUUGACGCUCAUGCACGAAAGCUGGGGAGCAAACAGG
RNAcentral lists this ribosomal RNA (254 nucleotides) under uncultured bacterium. Its description in RNAcentral is "partial 16S ribosomal RNA". It matches the Rfam family "Bacterial small subunit ribosomal RNA", at positions 524 to 776 of the family's 1533-position model. The record is from RNAcentral.